Molecule: ribosomal RNA, 253 nt
Filed under: uncultured bacterium
Lineage: Bacteria
Description: partial 16S ribosomal RNA
Rfam family: Bacterial small subunit ribosomal RNA
Source: RNAcentral
UACGUAGGGAGCAAGCGUUGUCCGGAAUCAUUGGGCGUAAAGCGCGCGUAGGUGGCUUCGUAAGUCCGUUGUGAAAGUCAAAGGCUCAACCUUUGAAAGCCGAUGGAUACUGUGAAGCUAGAGUACGGAAGAGGCGAGUGGAAUUCCCGGUGUAGCGGUGAAAUGCGCAGAUAUCGGGAGGAACACCAGUAGCGAAGGCGGCACUCUGGGCCGGUACUGACGCUGAGGAGCGAAAGCGUGGGGAGCGAACAGG